ACCUGCGGAAGGAUCAUUGUCGUGACCCUGACCAAAACAGACCGUGAACAUGUCAUCCAUGCCGCCGGGUGAUGGGUCUCGCACCUGUCUCCCGGAACAGGGUGCUGACCCUGUUCGCAGGGGACGCGCCCUAAAAGAACCCACGGCGCCGUAUGGCGUCAAGGAAAACUGAUGCUGCGUUGCACGGACGGGGACCGGCUUGCCGGCUCCACCCUUGUGCAGCGAUUAUCUUUUAAUCCAACAUGACUCUCGGCAACGGAUAUCUUGGCUCUCGCAUCGAUGAAGAACGUAGCAAAAUGCGAUACCUGGUGUGAAUUGCAGAAUCCCGUGAACCAUCGAGUUUUUGAACGCAAGUUGCGCCCGAGGCCUUCUGGUCGAGGGCACGUCUGCCUGGGCGUCACGCCAAAAGACACUCCCCAUCCAUCACAUUGGGGAUGAGGAAGUGGUAUUUGGCUCCCCGUGCAUCUAGGCGCGGAGGGCCUAAGUUGGGGYUGCCGGCGGUGCCGAUCACAGCACAAGGUGGAUGGCGAAAGUUGUUCUCGGUGCUAUGUUUCGGACCGAAAUUGGUGAUACCYUGAGCACCCAUGUACCGAAGCGAACAUUGCUCGGACCGCGACCCCAGGUCAGUCGGGACUACCCGCCGAAUUUAAGCAUAUCAAUAAGCGG
RNAcentral lists this ribosomal RNA (666 nucleotides) under Bouteloua karwinskii. RNAcentral's name for it is "eukaryotic LSU rRNA". The record is from RNAcentral. Lineage: Eukaryota; Viridiplantae; Streptophyta; Magnoliopsida; Poales; Poaceae.